ACAUGACUAAUCUUAUGGAUGGUACAGUGACUCGGCUCGAUAAGACUGCCUCCCUUAUGUCAACAACAAGUUCUUCCCAUACUUGUUCGAAAGUUCGAAAAGCAUGGACAAUGCUAUGUGCAAACGUAGACGAAACAACUUGAACUUCAUCGCGGAAAAUGAGACCAGACAGAAGGUGACAGUAUAGAGAUUGUUGAAAAUCAGGAGCAAAUAUUACUUCACCAGGACUACAAACUGGGGUAGACCAAUCCUUCAUUAUCUUCUUGUAUUGUGGACUUGUAAACACAUUAGUAGUGCCUGUUGAAGCUGCCAAAACCCCCUUUAGUUUUAAACUGCUUGCUGCUGUAAAAAAAAUGCAUAGCCUUCCCUUUCUCUAUUGGAAAUUCUCUGAAAGAAAUGAACAGAACUAUUAUUAGGGAACUAUUUACCUUUUAAUAUGAUGUAUUUAUGACCAAAAAAAAACUAAAACAACUUCAUGAACUAACAAGAAAAUUACCUGUUCCUAAAGGCAAAAGAAGUCUUGAAUGUCUGCAUGGCGGAAUUCAUCAAUUCAUCAUUGAAAGGUACAAACUUUGGCUUCCCUUGAGUAGUACCAGAACUGCAAAUCAACCAUUAUAUUUCACAAGUGCAAAUCAACCAUUAUAUUUCCUCUUUGAACAUAACAAUAAUAUACAAUAUCCACUGCACUCUCACAAGUGGAAUCUAAGUAGAGUACAACGUACACAAACUUUAUCGCUCAGACCAUCUCCAACCCACCUCUAUUUUACUCUCCAAUCUCUAUUCUGAAGAGCAAAAUGAGCACUUCAACCCAGCUCUAAAUCAUCCUCUAUUCUCCAUUUAUGGAAAGGUGACUAUUCACAGUCUCUAAUUCAUUUUUCAUUAUUUUAUUAUUAUUUUCUGUUACUUUCUAAUUAACAUAUAUUUUACAUAUAAUUCCAAUAAAUAAAUAUUCAAUAUUUAUAAUUCUUGUUUAAAUGUAAUAUAAUAUUCAUAAAAGUAUUUUAAUGUAUACUACUUUAAUUUCAAAUUAAUAGUAAUUUGAUUUUUUCUAAUUUUCAUCACUAAUAAUAAAAAAGUUAUUAAUAGUUUUCAUUAUAAAUAAUAUACAAAAUUAGAAUGGCAAGGUCAAUAAUUUAAUUUAAAAAUACAAUACAUAGUAUGAUAAAUUAAAUAUAAGAUAACAACACAAUACAUAACAUAAUAAUUUAAAUACAAGAUAACAAUACAAUAUAAUACAUAACAUAAUAAUUUAAAUACUGAUAAAAAAUAAUACAUAACAUAAUAAUUAAUUGAUCACAACAAUAAUUUAGUAAUCCGGUAGAUCAUUUCCAGAUCUCGCACUAUUCAAAAAAUAUUUUCAGCCACACCACGCUUUGAUGAUGCAAUAUUUCGCUAUUGUUAUCGAAUGUACCACAAUUUAUUUCUUCGUAUCAUUAAUGCAAUUAAAGAUCACGAUACAUACUUCGAAAAACAAAUUUGUCUACUUUGCAAAAAAUCUUGCUAGCAGUAUUGUGCCUCCCACCCAUUAUGUUAUUCAAAGAAAAGAAUACAACAUGGGUUAUUACUUAACUGAUGAUGUAUAUACUAAAUCGUCUACAACUGUUCAAAUUAUUCGUGUUUCUCAUUCUCAAAAGAAGAAAUAUUUCGCGAUAAAAGAAGAAUCAUGUUGAAAAUAUAUUGAACGUGCAUUCGUAUUUUUGCAAUCACGUUUUACAAUUAUUAUAGGAGAGUCACGUUUUUGAAGAAAUGAAGUGUUAUAUGAUAAUAAUGACUACAUGCAUUAUACUGCACAACAUGAUAAUUAAGGAUAAACAUGAUCUCAAUGCACCAAUUCAAGAUGUUGUAGAGGCUCCAACCCCAACUAUAGAAAUGGUGAUAGAUGAAAAUCUCAGGCCUGAACAAUUUUUAACUAGACAUAAAAAAUAAAGGAUAAAAUUCUCAUUUUGAACCCUGUAAUGCAUUAAUAGAGCAUUUAUAGGAGACACAUACCGAUUUUGAAAAUUAAGUGUUUAUGUAAUUGUAUGUCACUUUUAUUUAAAUUUAUCCCCUAAUUUAUGUAUUACAUUAUAUUUUCUUACAGUUUAUGUUAUAUAAAAAUUUAGAAUAAAAUAUAAUUUUAUAUCACACUUAAAAUUAUAUAAAGUAAUUAUUUGAAAUAAAAUUAAAGGAUUAAUAUCAUAAAAUAAGAAAAUAAGAAUCAAAUAGAAAUAAUAAUAUAAUAUUUGAGCAGAGAGAAAAAAUUUUCUUUUUAGAGAGUAAAAUAAUGAAUUAGAUUGGAGUUGGUUGUGAGAAAAAAAUAGAGAACUCCAUAUUUAGAAAGUAAAAUAGAGGAUUGAGUUGGAAAUGCUCACAUUAGUUUCCGAUUGACAAUCAAUUCAAGGAAAAACACAUCAAAGCAAAUUGAAAAAGAUUAACUAUAGUGAAGGGAUCAUGACAUAAUACCGUAGAAAGCAUGAUAAUAACAGAAAUCGACAUACAAAAAACAUCAACCCAAAAAAAAGAAGAGAAUUUUUUGCUUACCUCAAGGAGAUGGCUUGAACGGGCUUUCCAGUAAGAAUAGGUGAAAUAUCACCAUCAACAAUUCUUUGAAUAUAAGGAUCAAAAUCACUGUGACUGACAAUGGGGACACAAGCCUUGAAAGUCUCAACAUCAGUUCUGCCAUUCAUACCCCAUUGCUUCAAAUACUCUGUUCCCCCAUUUUGCUGCAGAAUUUUCCCAAGUGUCUCUUCUUGAAUCCUCCCAGCAUUUUUUGUUAUCACCUCAAAAUCCUCAAUCACUUGUUCUGCAUCAAAUUUCUUCUCAAUAUUUUCCAUCAUCUUAGACUUCAACUUUAAGCAAUAACAGUCAAGUAAAAGCAGUCAAUAAUCCUCAAUUUGAGAAAUGAGGUUGGGCGAUUAAGAAGAAUUUAAGCAACUCUAAAGUUAUUACUGACUUCAAUGCAACUUACCUCAUAAAGGACAAUUUUUAAAAAAAUAGAAUUGCUAAGUGACAUGAAACUUUUUUGGCACCGAUGUGGCAUGACACUGCGAAAUGACAGAAUUAGCCUUUUGGAUGUUGGUUCCAAAACCACCUAAUUUUCUCCGAAAAAUAUAAGAAAUCACUUUUGACAUUUUUUUAAAAUUUAUUUUACUCUUUCAAUAUCUUUACUUUCUUUUUUACUUAAUUCAUUUUAUAUCUCAUUUUACAAAAUGUUUCUUAAUUUUUUAUGUUUGGUUGACUUAAAUAUUUUAGAAAAUAUUUCUCAAAUAAACUUAUUUUCCUCAAAUAAUAAUCUUUUCCUAACCUCACUUCCUUCUCCGACCCUCCCUAUUAAAAAUAAAAAAAUUAAUUUUUUUAAGAAAAUCAAUUUAUUUUGUUACUACACCCAAACUAGCCCCCUCCACACCCACACACCCGCACGAUGGUCUAUUAAAAGGGACAAAGAAGUUAGGUAAUUAGGUGAAAGUCAUUCGAGUUUUAGAUAUUGAGUAGAAGUGACAUAUAAAUAAAUAAUAUUAAUUAAAUUAAAAAGUUUUUUAAAAAGGCCCAAACUUUUAAAUUUUACACUUUGCACCUACAUUCUUUACCUUAAAAUAACUUUAUCAUAAUAGACCAGAAAGACGCUCUUUCUCAACUACAUCAACUUCCCACUGAUCCUCUUCAAAUGCACGUAUAUUUGUCAAUCCUGCUUUUUUCUUCUUCUUCCUCUUCUUCUUCUUCUUCUUCUUCAUCUUUCUUUUAUAGAGAAUAUCUAUCAAGAAAAAUUUAUGAAAAAGAAUAUCAAUAUAUAUAUAUAUAUAUAAAGAGCGCCAUUGAUAAGUAUGAAAAUCACUUUGUGUCCAUUCUUAAGUUGCGUUUUGUGAACCCAAAGUGAUUGUUUCAGUCAACAAUUUUCGUAUCGAAGUUGAUGUCCAAUAAUUGUCUUUAGUUGUAUGGUGAUAAUAGAAGUUGUCCCAACAACUAGUGCAGUUGUUCAACAAUUGUGUUCUAUUGUUGGUCAAUUGAAGAGUUCUAAUAAAAUCUAAAACUAUUAUCUUUUUUACUGUUGUUGAUAGUUAUGAAACAACGAAAUAAGUGUAAAAAUAAGUAUUAAUAUUCUUUAGCAAUUUCAAAGUUAAUUGAUGAAUGUCUCACUAGUUGAAAUAUUGUGUGAUGUCUUCAGGUAUUGUGUCCAUCUAUGGAACAUCAAAUAAUAAUAGCAAUUGAUUACAUUGUGAAUGGGUAGAGAUUCCUAUUCGUUACACUUGGCGAACAAAGGUUCGAGAAACAAUAACAAUAAAGAUAAGUGAGAAUGUUACAUAUAACGAGUUGAUUUCUAGGUUUGAGUUAAAUUGUGAUAAAGAAGAUCUCUCUAUUACUUAUAUGCUUGGCUUCAUUGAUAAGCAAAAAGGACCUCCUUCUAGGAUAACGGAUGAUCGUGAUUACGAUUUUUUUGGAUGAUCGAUGUAGGCUCAUUUUAAGAAUAUAUGUGGUUGAAAAGAUAACAGAGACAGCAAAUUCAGUUGCAAAUGAUGAAGAGCGUCAUAUUACUAUUGAUAUUCCUAUAAACGAGGACGUUUUUCUAUAUUUCAUACUAACAGGAGGCAGCCACAUGAAUGAUGAAGGCACGAGUUUUUAUAAAGGUUAAAUAUUCAAGAACAAGCGAGAAUUAACUAAGUUAUUGAAGCUUGCUUCUUUAAAGAAAUUAAAGAUCAAAGGCUCAAAUCAGUAAAGAGUUCUACAGAUGAAUAUUUUGCUAGAUGUGUAGAUCCAAAUUGUGAUUGGUGGUUGCAAGCAACAAAAAUUCAAUGUUGUAAUAGAUUUGAAAUUAAACAAUACCGUAAUAUUCACUCAUGUGGGGAACUACAUCUUACAAGUCAUCAUCCACAUGCUUUAGCAUAAGUCGUCGCAGAUACAUGCUACUUAAUUUCUUGAUAGUGUAGUUUCAUGACUUUUUGCCGUAUUUAUAACAUGUACUUAAUGAGAAAAUUAUUAGUUCAAACAACUUAUAUAGUUGUAUUUUAUUAACUUUUAAUUUUUAUCAAAAGCUUCUAAUUUUUGUAUCAACAAUUUUUAAUGUUGUCGGACAACUGUAACAGUUCAAGGGUCAAGUCCUCCAAACAACUGCAUUAGUUGUCCAACGAUAUUGAAGAGUUGUCCAACAAUAUUGGAGAGUUGUCUAACAACUUUGCACAGUUGUUUAAAGAUUGAUCUAGCCGUUUUGUAAAUUAUUAGGUAUAAACUAAGUCGUUUAAUAAUAAUUGAAGAUCGAUUUAGUCAUUUUGUAAACUAUUAUGAAUAAAGUAAGUCAUUUAAUAAUAACUAAAGAUCAAUUUAGUCGUUUUAAAACUAUUAAGUAUAAAGUAAGUCACUUAAUAAUAACUGAAGAUCGAUCUAGUCAUUUUGUAAAUUAUUACGUAUAAACUAAGUCAUUCAAUAAUAGUUAAAGAUCGAUUUAGUUGUUUUGUAAACUAUUAAGUAUAAGCUAAGUCGUUUAGUAAUAACUGAAGAUCAAUGUAGUCAUGUUGUAAAUUAUUAGGUAUAAACUAAGUGGUUUAAUAAUAGUUGAAGAUCGAUUUAGUCAUUUUGUAAACUAUUUAGUAUAAACUAAGUCAUUUAAUAAUAACUAAAGAUUGAUUUAGUCGUUUGUAAAUUAUAAGUAUAAACUAAGUUGUUUAAUAAUAACUGAAAAGUUGAUCUAGUUAUUUUGUAAAUUAUUAAGUAUAAACUAAGUCAUUUAAUAACAGUUGAAGAUAGAUUUAACCGCUUUGUAAACUAUUAAAUAUAAACUAAGUCGUUUAACCACAUCCGGGGAGCUCUCUUGAUCACUUCGAGCAUCUGGAGCAUACAAGUGAUUCUUCUUAGGAGCAUCCGGGUUUGGGCACUUGCUUGAACUUGAGAAUUUUCCCUUUCUUGAGACUUCAUCAUAGGGAAAUGUCUCUUCAUAUGACCACUCUUGCCACAACCAUAAAAAUUGCCCAUGCCAACUAGGCACUUACCAUCAUGUCUCUUGUCACAUUUUGCACAAAGAGGCUUCUCAACAUAAGAUCUUCCACCUUUCCCCUCUUGGGGCUUGGGAGAAGGCACCUUGCUCUUGAUGACCCUUGGUGCAAUAGAAUAGCGUUAAUUGGAAAACCUCUUUUUGACCUUGGUUUGUCUUGAACCUCAAAUUUUGUCUUCGAAGAAUUCCCAUCUUCGUUCUUACCUUCUUCAACUCCCUACCAACUUGCUUAAGAUUUUGCUCCUCAAUUUGUUCGGCAUGAACCAUGAGACGAGAGGUGUCCAUGCAAGGAAUAAACAAAGCCGACCUACAUUCAUUAACCACAAGAUCGGAUAUCCCCAUGAUAAAUUUGUUCAUCUUGACCCGAGAAUCCACAACCAUAGUAGGAAAAUGUUUUGAUAGUGUACUGAAUUUUAAGGCUAUACUCCUUCACGCUCAUACCCCCUUGACAAAGGUUGAUUAAUUCUUGAAUUCUCCUCUCCCUUAGUUCCAAGGAAAAGAACCUAUCAAGUAAAGUCAUUUUGAAAGCUCACCAAGUAAUCCGACCUUCUAUAACCAGCCUCUUAUACUUCCAUUGCUCAUACAAAACUUGAACCACGUGCACUCGUGGCUGAGAGUUUGGAGGUUUCUCAAAACCUAUUGCCGAAAAAAUAUUCCAAGGAUAAGAAGAGAGAAGGCAAAAUGUUUUUGUAUUCCCUUUAGUUGGAUGUCUUAUAAUGUUCACAAAGUUCAUGCUUAUAUAGGAUUUUCCAAAGAGGAGUUUCAAAGGGAAGAAUUAAUUUGUAUAACUUAUAUUAAAUGUUAAUGGCAUUAAAAGUCAUUACAUCACAUUCGAGAGAAACUCUUCUUUGUUUUGGAACGGAAGAAUUAAUUUCUUUGUAACAUAAUUUACUUUCUAUUCUUUGCAUUACAGAAAAAUUGAAAAAAUGUUGAAUUAAUAUCACAAUUCCCCACUAAUGAAAACAUAAAGAAUAAGAACAAGUUUUGGACAAAAGGAAGGAACAUGUACUUAUAUGUCAAUAUCUUUCGAUUUGAAUUGACACGUAGUGAUAUGAGGCAACAACUUAUUAUCCACAAAGUGAAGUACUCUAGAAAUGAGCGGAUAUGAAUUGAGACCCUCAUAACACAUACCAUAUCCUUAAGUUUAAGCAACCUCCGCGAUACAACAUGCCUUUAUGGUCAUGCACACACACCUUGGGUCUUACGAGUUCUCUAGAAAGACGACACAAGUCUUUCAUAAAAGGCGACCACAUCUUUACACUCACGUAGGUGAUGCCAUCAAGUCUAUCUCAAAUAGACCACCUUACGGCUAUAGAAUCGUUAAGAGCAAAUUAAGUUCAACCUUAUAAAAUAUUGCAUCAUGCCAUACGGAUAGAAAAUGUGUUGUAUAUUGAGGCCUAAUAGGUCCACCACAUUACCUCAAUCAAUGGGCUUUAGCCCUAUCCCCCUCGAUGUUUCAAGGAUUAUUUUCCUUGUCAAGCCCUUUGUCAUAGGAGAUGCCAAAUUUCUUUUGGACCUUACAUAUUCCAAGGAAAUAACACCCAGUUUAAAUAAUUGUUUAACUGCACCAUGUCUGAUGCGAAUGUGUCUAUUUUUUCCAUUGUACACACUAUUUUUAGCGAUUCCAAUUGUUGCCUGUGAGUCACAAUGAAGAGAAACUGGUGAAGCUUAUCUUCUACCACAAAGGCAUAUCCGCCAAAAGAUUUCUUAGCCAUUCAGCUUCUUGCCUGCCAACUCGAGAGCAAUGAAUUCUGAUUCCAUGGUAGAAUGUACUAUACAAGUCUAUUUGGAAGACUUCCAUGAAUUAGCACCUGCACCUAAAGUAAAUACAUAGCCACUUGUGGAGCUAACUUCAUCAUUGUCAGUUACCCUGUUUGCAUCACAAAAACCUUCUAAAACAGCAGGAAAUUUGUUAAAAUGCAAACACCAAUUGAUAGAACCUCUCAAAAACAUUAGCAACCGAUGAAGAGCAUUCGAGUGUUCACUACUGGGAGUAUGAAUAUAUCUUCUCAAUCUACUAACAGCAUAAGUUAUAUCAAGCCGAGUAUAGUUCAUGAGAAAAAGUACACUGCCAAUUAUUUUAGCAUAUUCAAUUUGAGAAACAGUAGAUUCUUUAUUUUUCUUCAAGUGUAUCCUAGGGUCAUAAGAAGUCCUCACUAGAACUACAUCAAAACAAUCAAACUUUUUCAACAUCUUUUCAAUGUAAUGAGACUGACAUAAAGAGAAACCAUUAGCAGUUCAUUUGAUUUUAACUCCCAAAAUCACAUCUGCUUCACCAAGAUCUUUCAUUUCAAAUUUAGAAGACAAAGAGUUCUUAAUCUCAUUAAUAACAUUCACAUUAGCAACAAAGAUUAACAUGUCAUCUGUAUAUAAACAUAUAAUGAAACAAUCUGAACCUAUGAUCUUAGAAUAAACACAUGUAUCGGAUGAAUUUACAACAAAGUCAUUAUCCACUAUGGUGAUAUUAAAUUUUUCAUACUAUUGCUUAGGUGCUUGUUUUAGUCCAUACAAUGACUUUCUCAGUUUGUAUAAUUUAUCCUCUUGUCUUGGAACCACAAAACCCUCGGAUUGAGUCAUAUAGAUCUCUUGCUCUAAAUGACCAUUUAGAAAUGCAGUUUUAACAUCCAUUUGAUGUACCACUAAAUCAUGAAUGGAGGCUAAAGCAAUAAGAGUUCUAAUGAUUGCUAUUUUUGUCACAGGAGAAUAAGUAUCAAAGUAAUCAAUGCCUUUCUUUUGGUUAAAACCCAUAAUCACAAGUCUAGCCUUAUAUUUAUCAAUUGUACCAUCAGGUCUCAAUUUCUUCUUAAAUAUCUACUUGCUACUUAUGGGUUUACAACUUUUAGGCAAAUAAUGCAAGUCCGAAGUCUGAUUAGAAACUAUAGAGUCUAACUCACUUUUAAUAGCCUCUUUCAAUAAUACAACAUCUAUUGAUCUCAUUGCUUCAUCAUAAGUCUUAGGAUCUUCUUCUAUUAAAUAGAUAGACACUAAUUCAUCAUUUAAAACAUUAAUAUAAUAAUUUUCAGUUAAGGAAGUAGUGAUAAAUUUAGGACCAAAACUUUUUCAUGUUCAUUAGAAAUAACUCUAGAAAAAGGUACAACAUGGGAAUCAAUAAACAUAGAUGUAGAAUUAUUAUUUUACACAUCACUCGGCACAUUAUUUUUUAAAAGGAACAUAUGCUCAAAAAAUUCUGCAUCUCUAGAUUCACAAAUAGACUAAUCAUUUAGAGACAUAAAUCUAUAUGCAGCACUAUUUUGAGCAUAACCUAUAAAUAUAGCAUCAGAAGUCUUAGAACCAACAUUUACUCAUUUAAAAUUAGGUAGAUCAACCUUAGCCAAACACCCCCACACUUUCCAAAAUUUCAAAUUAGGAGCAAAUCCUUUCCACAGCUCAUAUGAGGUCUUGUCUAACUUCUUAUGCGGGACUCUAUUAAGAAUAUAGCAUGCAGACAAGACUGCUCCUCCCCACAUAUUAUCAGAUAGACAGAGCUUAAAAGCAUAGAGUUUAUCUCUUUAAGGGUUCUAUUUUUCCGUUCGGCUACACCAUUUUUUUGGGGAGUAUAGGGAGCACUAAACUCAUGUAUAAUACCAUUUUUCUCACAAAAAUCUUCUAGAGUUUUAGUACUAUAUUCACCACCCCUAUCAGAUCUAAAUCUCUUGAUUUUCCUAUCUAAUUGAUUUUCCACUUCUGCUUUGAAUUUCAAAAACAUGCUUUCAUUUUCAUCUUUAGACUGAAGAAGAUAUACCUUGGUGUAUCUAGAAAAGUCAUCAACAAAAGUAAUGUAAUACUUUUUUCCACCUCUGCUAACACUGUUUUUGAAUUCUGCUAAAUCUGAAUGUAUUAGUUCAAGUAAUUCAGUCUUUCUACUAAUAACAUAUUUGAAAGGUUUCUUGGCAUGCUUUGCUUCUAUGCACACAUAACAUUUAGAAAAAUCAUCAGUUUUUAUCAUUAGAAUUAAUUCCAUUUUCUUAAGUUUUUAAUAGAAGCAAUAUUGAUAUGACCUAGUCUACCAUGCCACAAAUUGAUAGACUCAACAAUAUAAGCAAAAUUUAAAAUACUUCCAUUAUUGACAAUCUCUUGAACAAUGUUCAGUACAAAUAAUCCUCCACUAAGAUAUCCCUUCCCAACAAAGUCUCCUCCACUAGAAAUAAUUAUUUUAUCAGCUUCAAAAACAAGUUUAAGGCCUACUUUGUUGAGAAGUGCUCUGAAAACUAAGUUCUACGGAGGGAGGGAACAUACAAAACAUUGUUAAAGAAUAAUGUGUUUCCUAAAGUUAAUUUAAGUAAAACUUUUCAUUCACCCAUUACUACAGCAGUAGUGGAGUUACCUAUGUAUACACACUCUCCAUCAGUGGACUCCUCAAUGUCAUGGAAUAACUCUUUAUUGGAACAAAAAUGCCUUGAAGUGCCUGUGUCUACUACCCAGUCAAUCUUGUUAGCCACCAGAUUUGCCUAAACAACUACAACAACAAUCACUUCAUUACCCUCAGCAAGAUAAGCUUAGACAUCACUUUGUCCUUCCUGCUUUGAGUCUUUCCUUUUCUUUGAUAGCACCUGGCAGCCCUGUGACCAACUUUUCCACAAACAAAACAAGAACCCUUAAUUUUUUAAAUUUGACUUUUCGGCUUGUUGAAUUGAUUUUUCUUCUUCAUAAGUUCCUUUUUUAAGACUUUCUUCUGUUUGCCUUUGAAACUGUCUUUCACAACAGUACCAGAAGAUUCAACAAGAUUAACUUUAGAAGAAUUAAGAGAAAGUUCUUCCAUCUUAUCUUUGAGACGGUUCGCCUCUUCAGUCCUCAUAUGACUAAUAAAUUCUUGGAGAGUUAAAUUCUUUUUUCUUAUGUUUUAAUUGAUUUCUAUAAUCACUCCAAGAUGGUAGGAAUUUUUCAAGCAGAACAUUAGCCUGAAAUAUCUCAUACAUCUUCAUGUCCUCGUUGAGAACAUAAGCAGUCAAAUUCUCAUAUUCGUGAACUUGCUCCAUUAUGGGCUUAUUAUCAGGCUUAUUAUCAACCAUUUGUAAUUUAAUCCAUUGGCCGGCAACAUAUUUUUUCUUUCCUGUAUCAUCAGCACCAUAUUUCUUUUCCAAACUAUCUCAUAUCUCUUUGGCAGAUUUAUAGUUUUAAAAUAAAUCAAAUAAAGGGUCAGUCAUAUGAUUUAGCAAAUGUCCUCAAACAAUUUGGUUAUCCUUUUCAGACUUCUUUUUAACAACAUCAUCAACAGUUACAACAUUACUAGAAUCAUAAGCAGUGUUAGAACCAUUCAUAGAAGGUUCUUUAAAUAAAACAGAAUCAACUUCUAAUUGUUCAAAAGAAAUUAAAAGUUUUUGUGACCAUCGUUUAAAAAUUUUCCAUCCAAAUGCUCAAGUUUUGACAAAUCAUUAAAAGUUUUGUUCAAAGAAAUAUCCAUUAUCAAUAUUGUAUGUUAGGGAAUCACUUUCAAAUUGUUGGAAAAAUUACUAAAAUAUUGAUAUUAGAAUGAAACUAUAAAAUAGUAAAUAACUUAUCACAAAUAUUAUGUCAUGGCAAGCCACUGCCUUGAAAGCAAUUUUGGCUCGACUCUGGUGCAAAUCGUUGCAGUUGGUCGCUCCCCAAGGUUCCACAGUUACUCUCAAACACGUGCACUCGUGGCUGAGAGUUUGGAGGUUGCUCAAAACCUAUUGCCCAAAAAAUAUUCUAAGGAUAAGAAGAGGGGAGGGAAAAUGUUUUUCUAUUACCUUUUGUUGGAUGUCUUAUAAUUUUCACAAAGGUCAUGCUUAUAUAGGAUUUUCCAAAAAGGAGUUUCAAAGUGAAGCAUUAAUUUGUAUAACUCAUAUUGAAUGUUAAUGGCAUUAAAAGCUAUUACAUCACAUUCGAUAGAAACUCUUCUUUGUUUUGGGACGGAAGAAUUAAUUUCUUUGUAACAUAAUUGACUUUCUAUUCUUUGCAUUACAGAAAAAUUGAACAAAUGUAGAAUUAAUAUCGCUGAAAUCAUUCAGACUAUUAACACCAGGUAUUAAUAAAGGUUUCUGCACACUUCUUGCUGCUGAUAUUCGUCUUACCUCCGUCCAUUUAUCGUCCUGCUUUUCUUUGAUCAGCUCCCCUUGUCUCUCUGCCUUAAGUUCACUGUUGGAAUGUGCAAUUAUACCGGGGUCGUUUGGCACUCAUUCAACUGUAACCCUAUAGGAUCAGCAAGAUUUGGCAACUUCUGGUCAUCCCGUUUAGGUUGACACUCUUAAGCUUGUGGCUUAUCCUUACGAACAAUGGGUUUGGUUUGUACAUUAGGUGAGUUGUGCAUUUAUGUCCAACCUGGAGACACUUUGGACAAUAUACAGGUAUCAAUUCAUAAAUCACCUUCAGAUCAAACACUCUUCCAUUUGGAUCCUCCAUUCUAACUGAAACUGGGAGUUCUUUUGUUAUAUCAAGCUAAAUCAAAACUUUGGCUAAGGAGGUUCUAGCUACCUUCAUUGUGCAUUCAUCAGCAUACAAAUGCAAUCCCAAACCACUACUAAUUAUGCUCAAUGAUUGUAUCCACCGUCAAUUCUCUCUAUAUAUAGAUAUUAGUCCAAAAAAAACAUAGAUAUAUAUUACACUAUUUAGAUAAGAAAUCCCAGCAGGACUACAAAUUUGGAAAUAUACAUACAUAAAUUUAAAAGAUAGCAGUACUAGAAUAGCUCUUAACAACAUUAGUAGACAGUAUUUGUAUCAAUGAGCUAUUUUUUGGACCAACACAUCUAGGGGUUUUAAACUGGCUCACCGCGCCUCCUAAUCCAACGAAAUGAUCCAAUAUCUUAUUAAAGGUUCCCCUCUUCACAAUCCGCAGUUCAAGUGCCCCAAUUGUAUUCAUUCUCCUGUUGUUCACAUAGCUUGAAUCGAGGAACGAUUUGUCCAGACAGUUGCAGCACUCUUGCAAUAUUUCAUCAGUUGCUUCCCCACUCAGUUCCCAGAAGAUGACAUAGUGUCCUGGAUCAGAUGAGAUGUUGGCAUGGCUUGUGAAGUCCACCACUUCUAGUUUUUCGUCAACUAAGUGCUUGCCUGCAGCUUCCACAGCUAGUUGCAAAUCUUUCUCGGUGUUCUUGUCUAUGUUAAUGCUCAGCACAAGGUUCCUUCGACAGACGAACUGGAGCUCUGGAGUGCUAUUGUGGAAUCCUUUUAUCUUCACAACAUCACCCAGUCUAUAACGAUAUAAACCUGCAUAUGCAAAUGCAUAAGUGUAGUCAAUUAUACUAUCACUACAUAUAGCUAAACUUGUAUAUGACACAAUAGAUAGACCGAUACCUUGUUAUUUUGAAUAAAUCUGUUAUGUGGAACUUAGAAGGAAAAAUGCAAAAGAUUCCAGCAUUCUAUAUAGAAGUACUUAACAACAAAAGGAAAUGAAUAUCAAGCACAUGCACGUAUUGCUGAACAAAUGAGUACAACAGAACAUGGACAAAAGACCCAGAAUAAGGCAUAAAAGCAAACGACAACUCUUUUCUAUCUUAGCAGAAUUUAGUAUUUUAUGCCAGGCAGGCAUAUUUAACUGAUUAUGUUUCCAACAAUAUUGCCAUAAAGUACGAAGACUAAGGACAUGCUAAACUCCACAAGUCUAAGCUGAAUUACAUGGCAGUCAAUAAAAUUAGAGCAGAACUCGUUCACUGGGAAGAAUCACUGAAUAAUAAGAAUAUGCUCAAUUAUCCCCGGUUUAUCAUGUUGUGCUCACUCCAUAAUUCAUAUAUGAACAGAGACCUCAAUUUGAUGAGCAUAGAAUUUUCAAGAGAAGUCGUGCAAGAAAAUUGUACCUGCAAAAUUAGUGAAGACAAUUUCAUACUCUUCACCAAGUUUAACUUCAGUCAGGCAGACAGGAGAAUUUGCUUGCUCCAUGCCAAUGAGAUUUUCCUCGAGUGGGAGGAAUUCAAAAUAGCCAGUAUUUGGUAACACUGCAUAAGUAACCAUCUCAGGGGGGAAUUUUGGGUUAACAUUUAAUCCAACCCAUCCUUCAGAAGAACCAUAAUCUGCACUCACUAGAGGUAAUUUCCCUGCAUAGUGCCUCAGUUUCUUCAAGUAAGGCUCCAUGGAACCUGUCAUGAUACCAUAAAUGUACUUUGUAUUCGGGAAGAGUUUAGGAAUCAAGCCAUACCAAUUGCUUAAACUUGAGCAUUUGCUAUAAAUUGUAUCAGCCAGUUCUGGAUCAGGCUUCAGCAGUUUCGACAUGGCCAAUCUUAUAGAUGGGACUGUGACACGGCUCGAUAAGACUCCCUCCCUUAUGUCAACGACAAGUUCUUCCCAUACUUGUUCAAAAGUUCGAAAAGCUUGGACAAUGCUAUGUGCAAAUGCAGACGAAACAACUUGAACUUCAUUGCGGAAAAUGAGACCAGACAGGAGGUGACAGUACAAAGAUUGUCGAAAAUCAGGACCAAAUAUUACUUCAUCAGGACUACAAAUUGGGGUAGACAUUGCCUUCAUUGUCUUCUUGUAUUGUGCAUUUCUAUACACAUGGGUAGUGGCUGUUCCAGUUGCCAAACCACCUUUAGUUUUAAAUUGCUUGCUGCUGUAAAUAAUGUGCAAAACCUUCCCAUUCCCUAUUGGAAAUUCUCUGAAAGAAAAAAAUAUAGGCUAUAUGAUGUAUUUAUGACAAAAAAAACUUCAUGAACCAACAAGAAAAUUACAUGAAAUAUAAGACAGAGAACAAAAUGAAAAAUUACCUGUUCCUAAAGGCAAAAGAAGUCUUGAAUGUCUGCAUUGUGGACUUCAUCAAUUCUUCAUUGAAAGGUACAAACUUUGGCUUCCCUUGAGUAGUACCAGAACUGCAAAUCAACCCAUUAAAUUUCCUCUUUAAUCAUACAACAAUAUACUGCUCACAAGUGGGGUCUUAAAAAAGAAUAAAAACUUUUUUGCUUACCUCAAGGAGAUGGCUUGAAUGGGCUUUCCAGUAAGAAUAGGUGAAAGAUCACCAUCAGCAAUUCUUUGAAUGUAAGGAUUCAAAUCACUGUGACUGACAAUGGGGACACAAGCCUUGAAAGUCUCAACAUCAGUUCUGCCAUUCAGACCCCAUUUCUUCAAAUACUCUGUUCCCCCAUUUUCUUUCAGAAUUUUCUCAAGUGUCUCUUCUUGAAUCGUCCCAGCAUCUUUUGUCAUCACCUCAAAAUUCUCAAUCACUUCUUCUGCAUCAAAUAUCUUCUCAAUAUUUUCCAUCAUCUUCAUAAUCAAGACUUCAACUUUAAGCAAUAGCUGUCAAGUAAAAGCAGUCAAGAAUCCUCAAUUUGAGAGAUGGGGUUGGGGGUUAAGAAGAAUUUAAGCAAAUCCAUAGUUAUUACUAACUUCAAUGCAACUUAUUACUAACUUCAAUGCAACUUAUUACUGACUUAAAUGCAACUUAUUACUAACUUCAAUGCAACUUACCUCAUAAAAAGAAUUGACAGAAAUAAAGAAAACAAGUUUGUUACAGAUAAUCAUACUCAUUAUCUUCGUCUUAUUCUUAAGAUACAGAGAUGAAUCUAGAAAUUGAAAAUACCGAGAUAAUUGUCAUUUUUAAUGUAGACGUGUCAAUUUUUUUAUUUAAACUAAUAUAGACACGUCAAUUAUUUACACAAAGUUUGAGGCAUAAUUCUAUGGGAAAAAUUGGGUUGUAACUACUAAAAUGCAAAUAUAAAACAAAGUGCAAUUGGAAGUUGGUGUUGGGUUCUUUAAAAUGUUUGAACAUGAAUUGGAGGGUUGUGACUCUUCUGAAAGUUAUGACUUUGCAGAAAGGUUGUGAUCUUUAUGAAAAGUUGUGUCUUUUCUAAUGGAUUGUGAUCGUUUGAAAGUUUGUGUAUCUUUCAAAGAGUUCUGACGUUUUUGAAUGGUUGUCUUAUUUUCAAAGAGUUGAGACCUUUAGCGUUUGUUGGCUAUAAAUAGAUAGGUUUUCUCUCGUUUUUGUGCAUUGAAUUAUAUCUUCUUUUGCAUACAUUUGUUACGAAACAAAAUCGAUCAAUCGUGUCUGUGUGUGUGAUUUGUUAAUGUCAUUUUAAGUUCAUUGAAUUUAUUGAAGUUUGAGGUAUCGCUACUUCUUUAAUGAUUAAUCUAAUUUAUCUUGGGAGGAUGUAACUGCAACCUUGAGUACUUGAGGGAAUUAAAUUUCUUAAGGACACGCAGCGGUUCUGUGGACUCAGAUAGUUUUUUGUGUUUUUCUUUUCAACUUUUAUUAUUUCUAGUUUACUAAUUCGUUUAUAGGAGACAAAAAAUUUAAGAAACUUAAUAUUUGAAGGAAUAUUGAUUGUAUUGAAGUGUUAACCUAAUAAGGGAAUACAUGGGAGAUAUAUAUAGGAGAUAUAGGAAGGAUUACUAAUCCUAAUAGGACUAGGAUUAAGGAGUACUAAUCCUAAUAGGACUAGGAUUAGUACACAGUAAAUACUAAUAUUAUUUAAUAUUAUUUGUUUAAUUCUAUCUGUUAUUAUCCUCCCUCAAGAUGAGCUGAGCGGAAGCGAACGGAAGCUUGGAACUGAGGUAAUCAUGUUGUCGGAUCGGGAGAGCCUUGGUGAGAAUAUCAGCCAGUUGUUCUUCAGUGGGUACAUACUGCACAGUCAUGGUGCCGGCCUGAACUUCAUCGCAAACAAAGAGACAAUCGGUAUCAACAUGCUUCAUUCUGGUGUGUAGGACGGAAUUCUUGGCCACACAGAUGGUUGAUUUGUUGUCACAAUAGAGAGCAGGAACAGUGUGAGUGCCGCGGAGUUCGCAAAGAAUAUAUGUGACCCACAUGGUCUCAGCAGCGAGAAGAGCAAGGGCGCGGUAUUCAGCUUCAGUCGAGGACCGAGAGACCUUGGGUUGUUUUUUUGUACAAUAGGAGAUCAGGUUCGGCCCCAAAAAAAUGAGAAACCCCGAUGUAGAUUUUCUGUCAUUUUUAUCAUUCGCCCAAUCUGAAUCUGAGAACCCCCGAAGCUCCAAGUUCCCGGGUCGAAUGAGUAAACCACGACCAAGAGUGCCAAAAAUGUACCUGAGAAUGCGUUUUAGACAAUGGUAAUCAUGUUCACUUGGUUGAUGAAUACGCUGAGCAACUCGGUUGACAGCAAACUGGAUGUCAGGACGGGUAAUGGCCAGAUAUUGUAGAGCCCCAAUGAGGCUGCAGAAGUGGGUGAUAUCCAGCAAAGGGGGUGUCGGCUCCAUUCUUAGACGAAGAGAAUGCCAUUGGUGUUGGUUGACUGGUGCAUUUUUCCAGUCCAGCUUUCUACAACAGAUCUCGAGCAUAUUUUGACUGAUGAAGAAACAAGUCGCUGUCUGUCCGAGAAACCUCCAUUCCCAGAAAAUAAUGUAACGGGCCAAGGUCCUUCAUUUUGAAGGUAGUAGCUCGAGUGACAUCCUGAAUGAGAGCUGCAGUAGAGCCUGUAAUAAUGAUAUCAUCUACAUAGACUAGAAGAAUGACUGUACCGUGUGCUGAAUGUCGAGUAAACAGACUCGUGUCGUGUACGCAACACGUGAAGCUGAGUCCGUGGAGGAACGUUUUCAGACGUGUGUACCAAGCACAGGGGGCUUUCUUGAGCCCAUACAGAGACUUCUGGAGUUUGCAAACAUGUUGAGGGAAGCAGGGAUCAACAUAGCCCGGUGGUUGCGUCAUGUAGAUAGUUUCAACAAGCAUGCCAUGAAGAAAAGCAUUGGAAACAUCCAACUGAUUGAUGAGCCAAUUGUUGCGCACGGUGAGUGACAGUACCAGGCGAAUGGUUUCCUGCCGAAUAACAGGACUGAAUGUUUCGGAGUAAUCAAGCCCAUACUCCUGAUUGUAGCCUUUAGCAACCAAACGAGCCUUGUACCUGGAAGUACUGUCAUCUGCAUUGUGUUUAAUUUUGUACACCCAUUUACAGCCCACUGGGUGCCGCCCAUGGGGCUUAGGUACAAGAACCCAAGUUUUCUGAUCAGUCAAAGCCUUAAACUCGUCAUCCAUAACAUGACGCCAAUAAGCAUUUUUUGAGGCAACAGAGUAGGUUGUUGGUUCACUAUCGGGAAGGGGUGUAUUUGGUAGUAUGGUAGCCUAAAAGGUUUUGAGUUUAAAGAUAUCGGCUUUGCCAUGGGUUAACAUGGGAUAAGUAUUUGGGGGGUGGCACGGGCGGUGGUGAUUCGGGGGUGUCCGGGAAGGACACAAAACGAAUCGGCUGUAGAUGUUGUGGGUAUGGGGUGGUUUGGGUUGGUUGUGAGUGUGGGUGGUGGUCGCGGGUAAAUUGUGGGUGACGGUCGAAGGGGUGAUGAGGGGUGGUUGGGUAGUGUGUGGAGGUGUGGGGGAAGGUGGUGAGGGACCCUGUGAGUAUGUUAGAAAAAGGGGAAGGACGCCAAUGAAUGAUGUAUUUGUGGAGGAGGAAAUAAACUCGUAGGGAAACUCAUUUUCGACAAAUUUGACAUGAUGAGAUAUGUAGACUUUAUGAGUUUGUGGGUCAAGACAGUGAUAACCCUUGGAGAUAGGAUGAUAUUCCAAAAAAAUACAAGGACGGGAUCGGGGUUUUAAUUUGUGAGUAAUAUGAGGGCGUAGCCAAGGGUAGGCAAUAGACCCAAAGACGCGGAGGUUGGUAUAAUUGGGAAGUUCUGGGUAAAGGAGUUGGUAGGGUGAUUUGUUGGAGAGGGUGUGACUGGGCAUUCUGUUAAGGAGGUAGUUUGCGGUGGCUAGAGCUUCUACCCAAAAGGAGACAGGGAGAUGAGAUUGAUGUAGAAGAGUAACCACCGUUUCAAUGAGAUGGCGAUGAUUAUGCUCAGCCACCCAUUCUGUUCGGGAGUGUAUGGACAGGAGGUUUGAUGUAUAAUUCCCAGGGAUUGCAGAAACUGGCCAAAGAUGUUAUUUACAUAUUCCUUUCCAUUGUCACUUCAAAAAAGUUUAACAUGAGAAUUGAAUUGUGUUUUGACCAUUUUUUCAAAAGUGACAAAGGUAGUGUAUGCCUGUGAUUUGUGUUUUAGUGGGUACAACCAAGUGUAUUUUGUAAAAUCAUCCACAAAACAAAUAUAAUAGUGAAAACCAGCAAAUGAAGGAACAGCUGUAGGACCCCAUAGGUCAGAAUGAAUAAGUUGAAAAGUUGCAGUUGUACGCUUCUUAGAUAAAGUAGAAGGUAAUUUAUGAGAUUUAGCAAUUGAACAGGAGUCAGAAUUGUUUAUAUGAAUGGAAGAAAAACCUAAUUGAGACAUUAAAGAAUUUAUUAUUUGAGUAGACGGGUGACCCAGACGACUGUGCCACAACGACUGUGGCCAUCAGGCGAAAGAGCCCCCGAAUCCACAGGAACGGUUUCUGAAACUGGGUAGGCAGUCGAACUUGCGCCAGGAAGAACGUACAGACCAUGCUCACAGGGGCCCUGAAAAAUCACCCUCUUGGUAGUAUUGUCUAGGAUCUGAAAAUCAUUAGAGGUGAACAAGAGUGAGCAAUUAUUGUCUUUUGUGAAUUGGUGAACUGAAAGGAGAUUGGUUUUAAUAGAAGGGACGUGGGUAAGGUUACCUAGGUGAAAAGAUAGUGGUGGGGGUUUUAAUGGUACCCGUGCCAGUGUGAGAAAUAUUAAGGGACUCACCGUUGCCAACAGUAAUACCAUUGGAGCCAUGAUAUGGAUUUGGAGCGUUAAGCUUGGAUAGUUUAGAAGUAACGUGCAUGUUGGCCCCAGUAUCCAACAGUCAUUCAGAGGAGGGGCCGGCUUGAGAUACAUAAUUGGCACGGUUAUCACUAUUUCGGCUCUUCUCAUACCGAAACCAGCAACGAACAACGGUGUGUCCUGUUUUCUAACAGAUUUGACAAGUUGGACGAUCCCGCUCGUAAGUGCCCUGCCAGCCGCUGGAAGAUGACUGCCCGCCGCUGCCGAAGGAGUGCAGGAUGUUGUUGCUGUCGUGCUGCUGACCGUCAUACGGCGGACGACUGCCCUGCCGACCGCCGCGCCCGCGGCCUCCGCUGUUUCUGCCGUAGCCGCCGCGACUCCUCUACCGGCCACCACCACGCCCCCCGCGAUAGUUCUGGCUUGCGGUGAAGGCGGUGGCCGGCUCCAUAACAGCGGCUUCUCGGAGAAGAAGUUUGCUCUCCAGAUCCACGUUGAUUUCUUCACUUUUUAGCCAUGAGGAGAGAGUAGCCAGGUCAACGGGCGUUGGACUGAUGCGAACCGCCUGUUUAAUGGAGGAGCAAGCUGAUGGGAGCCCCCGAACGACGCACAUGACGAGAUCUUUUUCGGGAAUGAUUUCGUUCGCGGUGUCGAGGGUUGUGAUGAUUGUUGAGACCUUGUCUAAAUACUCCGCCAUAGUUUUCGUGCCUUUGGUAAUUGUGUGGAGACGAUCACGCAAUUGAAAAAUAUGAGAGUAGGAAAUUGAUGCAUAGCGUGUUGCGAGGGUCGUCCACAGUGCUGAAGUAGUUGUGUAGGAUCGGACGUGUUUCUGAACCGUGGGAGAGAUGACCGUAAUCAAACAUGAUCAAAUCUGAACAUCCACGGCUUUCCAGGCGUCAUAGGCCGGAUUGGUUUUUUCUGAUUUGUCCGUGGCGGUGAUGACUGCCGGCGGCGAUUCUGUGCUUCCAUCGACGUAUUUGAGAAGGUAAUUGGCCUCAAGGGCUGUAAGAACGGUGAUUUUCCAUGUAGUGUAAUUUAUGUCUGAUAAUUUUUCAAGAAUUAGGGCAUGAAGAUGCCUAAGAAGGAGUUUAACGCCAGAAGGAAGUGAAUCGAGAGGAUCCACCUCGGUUGUCAUGGCUGCCACCUCCCAAGAGAAGAGAGGGAACGAUCGGUGCCCUAAAGAGAGAAAAAAACCUAGAGAAAAGAAGAUCUAGGUUUUCUGGCUCUGAUACCAUGAAGAAAUAUUGAUUGUAUUGAAGUGUUAACCUAAUAAGGGAACAGAUGGGAGAUAUAUAUAGGAGAUAUAGGAAGGAGUACUAAUCCUAAUAGGACUAGGAUUAAGGAGUGCUAAUCCUAAUAGGACUAGGAUUAGUACACAAUAAAUACUAAUAUUAUUUAAUACUAUUUAUUUAAUACUAUCUGUUAUUAAUAUUGAAGGUAUUUUAUGUUAAGACUUACUUCUAUUUUCAGUAUUCUCUUUAUUGGGAAAAAUAAGUUGAAAAAGAAAAUUAUUUUAUCAUGAUAAAAGAGAUUUGGAAUGAAUUAAUACUACUUCAAUAUGGUCGAGUAAUUAAUACUACUCAUUUUUCUGCAUUGAAUUAUCUUCUUCUUUUGCAUACAGUUCAUACAAAACAAAAUCGAUCAAUCGUGUCUUUGUGUGUGAUUUGUUGAUGUCAUUUUGAGUUUGUUGAAAUUAUUGAAGUUUGAGGUACCACUGCUUCUUUAAUGGUCAAUCCAUUUUAUCUUGGGAGGAUGUAAUCUGCAACCUUGAGUACUUGAGGGAAUUAAAUUUCUCAAGGAAACACAGUGGGUUCCGUGGACUCAGAUAGUUUUUUGUGCUUUUCUUUUCAAUUUUUAUUAUUUCUAGUUUGCUAAUCGGUAUAUAGGAGGCAAAAAAUUUAAGAAAUUUAAUAUUGAUGGUAUUUUUUAUGGUAAGACUUACUUCUAUUUUCAGUGUUCUUUUUAUUGGGAAAAAUAAGAUGAAAAAGAGAAUCAUUUUAUCAUAUGAUAAAAGAGAUUUGAAAUGAAUUAAUACUACUUUAAUAUGUUCGAGUAUAUUUUCUGUAGUAUGUUUUCCUUAAUUAGAUGGGUAUGAUUAUUUUUAGUUUCUUCCCAAGUGCAUUGAAGCAACUCACUACACUUUUUAUUUAUUUUUUUUUUCCCUAUGUUAGUUUUACAUAAGUAUGAAAAAAGUAAAUGAACAAAUGUUGUCUCCUAACAAUAUUUGAACAUGAGUUUAGUUUCUUGUUGAAACUAAAUGUCUUCUUGAGAAAAAUAGGAACAUGAAGGAAACUAAGAAAAGGAGAAAAAAAUUAGCAAGGAACAUGACUUGCAUGGAAUCAAUAGAUAGAAUAUGAUUUGGUUAGGGUAAAAAUCAGGUUCUAUCUUUAUUUCACUUGAUUAUUAUUAUUUUUCUAUUCCUUUAUAAGUUAUGAAAUGUAUUUCAUAAAUGUUAGGAUAGAUGGUCAUAAUGUGAUGAUCCAGAAUAUAUGUUUAUUAUUACUAGUAUGUAUUCUGUUUAGAGGGGGUACUUUUGUAAUUUUCUACUCCAUGUGAAAUUUGAUUGUGUUUGACUUUUGGAGACUAAAAUCUUCUGAUUUUUUUUAACUUGUUUGAUUUGAAGAAUAUAAGAACUUUACUAACAAAUCAGAUUGUGCAUUGGUUUAAAGAAAAUAGUAACUUCACCAAUAUGUUAAAUGCUUUGUUUGAAUGAAUGUUCUGACUUGAAGAGUAAAAAAUCUGCGUAGGAAUAUUAAGGCUAAAUGAUUUGAAAGAUAUAAAAUCUUCAUCUUUAUCUAGAAACAAUGUUGUAUUUGAGGUUUCUGGAGAUUGAAAAAUUUCUGGUUUACUACUUUGUCUGAAUGUGAAACUGAUUCCAAGAAUAUAAAAACUUCAUCAAAAUUCAAGAUUUUUUCGGUUAACGAUUAGAAAAAUAUAAAAACUUCAUUGUUAAAUUGGAAACAGGUUGUAUAAAGAUUGAAUCUUUAUUUUUAGUAUUCUAAAUACUAAGUGGUCUGUCUAGUUGUGAUAGAAAGUAAAAAAAAAACACUACUAACAUAAAAUUAGUGAUUUUUGUGCUUGCAAUAGGUGUUUCUAUGGAUUAAAUCUCCAAAAGAAGAUUUUGUGUUAUCAAUGUAUAUUUUGAUGAUAUACAAGUUGAAUGAAUGGAAACAAAAUAUGUGGAAAUAAUUUCGAGUACUUGAAAAUAUUUUUGAAAACAUAUUUAAAAUGUGGGGGUUCUUCAUUUGUGAUAAAGACAAUAUUAGAUUUACCCACGAAAUUUUUGGAGUAUAUUUGAUAUUGCGGUCGUUGAGUCUUUCUUUACCAGUAUAUGAUAUGAAUAGUAUAAAACUACAAAAUUAUAUUACUCUUUCAAAAGAAUUGUAUUCUUUGAUGAAAAAGAGUCACUUGGAUAUUAUGGAAAGGUCCUUUACAAAAGACAUCUGGCAAGGUGUUGACUCUAAAACAAUGUUUGCAUUUGACAAAGUUAUAACAAGUAACGAACAAAAUAUUUGUAGGAAAAUGCUACCUCGCAGAAGGUUUUUCCAAACCAAGUAUUUCUAAUUGUUCUGACUUAAACUGAUCAACUUAGAAGUUUUGCCUAACUCCUAGUGCAAAUGUCAAGUAUGUGUUGUUGAAAAGAAUUUCAGUCCCUUAGAAUUGAUUUACACUGACAUUUUUUAUAUGGAGUCAAUACCAUCUCGUAGUGGGAAAAGUGUUUCAUAAAUUUUAUUGACAAUUGCACUAGACAUUGUUAUGUUUCUUUGCUGAAUAAUAAGGAUAAAGCAAAAGAAACAUAUAAGCAAUAUAAAUUUGAAGUUCAAAAUUAGUUAGAUAAAAUAUUGUCAUGAUUAGAAGUGGUAGAUGUUGAGAAUAUAAAUCUUCUUUUGCAUAAAUAUAUUUGCAAAAUGGAAUCAUCCAUCAAAUUACUUCACAUACUCACCUCAAUCUAAUGAAAUUGUUGACAGAAAAAAAAAUUUGAACUUUGAAUGAAAUGUUGAAUUGUCCUAUUAAUAAGUUUAGGUUUACCAAAAAUAUUAUGGGGGAUGCUAUCAUUAUAGCAAAGAUAACAAGAAAAAGUUUAUAUGUUCAGAAAGAAAGAUACAAAAAAAAUGUUUGUCAGUAAAGAGAGUAACAAAUAAAAAAAUUUAUUGUUAAGAAAGGGAGCAAGAAAAAGAUGUGUUUGUUCAGGUUUAAUUGUAUCCUGAUAGAGAAUUGUUUGUCGCCCCUUAAAGUAUAUACAAUCAAUAACACCUUUGAAAAUAGUGAUCUAACAAUUUCCAAUACAAUUUAUUCCAUAUGAGAAAUGGGAAUAUGGAAACUAUUUCCAAACGGGUCAAAAUAGGACCUAUGAUUGUGGACCUACAAAUAUUAAAGCAUGUUGGAAUGCUACAAGUGUUGGUAGUUCUAUAAAAGUUGGUUUUUACAUGGCAUGCAUAUUUGCCUUGCACCAUUACAAGUGAUUAAAGUCACUAAUUUGGUAGGAUCCAUGUGGUAAUGGUCGUUGUUUUACAACACUCCCCCUUAGAUGUGUAUAUAAAUGAAAAGUUAAAAAUAAAUAUACAUAGACAUUCAAAAUAUGCUUUACUUGAUACCUCAUUAAAAAAAAAUUUAGGAAAACUCACGGGACAAAACCUAGACUAAGGAAAAAAGAGUACAACGCAUAUUUUACACUCUCUGAUAAAGACCAUGAUUCAGAUGCUUAAGUCUGCCCAUUCCAAUCUUUUGCACCAUAUUUACAAGAGUUGAGACAGGUAAAGAUUUGGUGAAUAAAUUUGUUGGAUUAUCACUUGAAUGAAUUUGUCGUAUAUCAAUAUCACCGUUCUUCUAGAGAUCAUGUGUAAAGAAUAAUUUCAGUGAAAUAUGCUUCAUUCUAUCUCCUUUUAUGUAGCCUCCUCUUAAUUGAGCUAUGUAUGCAGCAUUUUCUUCAAAACCACUGUGGGUACCUUGACAUCACACUUCAAAUCACAUCUUUCUUUUAUGAAAUGUAUCACUAAUCUCUACCAUAUACAUUCUCUACUAAAUGUUCAAUUUAUAGACCAAGACAGUGUUUUGUCUUUCAAAGAUCUUUCUAUCUCAAAUUAUUUCUUUAGAAAUUCAAUUGGAUUUUUGACCUCUUCUAGAGUUCCAAUGAUAUUAAUUUCAUCAACAUAAACUGCAAGAAUAACAAACUCUGACGUUGUUUUCUUAAUAAAAAUUUCAAGGACAAAUGACAUUAUUUAUAUAAUUUUGUUUUGUCAAGUACUCACUGUGGCGAUUAUACCACAUGCAUCCUGAAUAUUUUAAGUCGUAUAAUGACGUUUGUAAUCUGAUUGAACACAUUUCCUGAGUUUUUGAACCAUAUAUUUCAGGCAUUUUAAGUCCUUCUGAAAUUUUUAUAUAAAUUUCAUUAUCAAAUGAAUCGUAAAGAUAAAUUGUGACCAUAUCCAUCGGAUGUAUUUCAAGAUUUUCAUGAAAAGCUAAACUGAUGAGAUAUCAAAAAGUUAUUGCAUCCAUAACUGGUGAAUAUGUUUCUUCAUGGUCAACAUCAGGUCGUUGAUAGAAUUCUUGCGCAACAAGGGGUGCCUUGUAUCUUAUAAUUUCAUUUCUCUUUCGCACAAAAAUGCAUUUAUAGCCAAUCGAUUUUACAUCAAUUGGGGUUUGGACUACAGAUCCAAAAACGUUAGGUUUAGCAAGUGAGUUCAAUUCUAAUUGAAUUGCCUCUUACCAUUUUGGCAAAUCACAUCUUCAUCGACAUUCUAUGACAAACAAGGGUUCAAGAUCCUCAUUGUCUUACAUAAUGUUAAGUGAGACAUUAUAUGCGAAAACAUUUUCAACUAUAAUUUUCGAUCGAUCUAAACUAAUCCUAUCACUAGUAGAACUUAUUGAAAUUUCUUCAUUCACUUGAAUCUCGGGUUCACCGAUCUCUUCUGGAAUAUCAGGAUUAAUCAAAUCAUGAAUAUUUUAGUGAGAUUCUUUUGCAGUGUCAUUUUUCAUACUUCUUUUUCUAGGAUAUUUAUCCUUUGAACCCAAUGAUCUGCCACACUUCAAGAGUGUUUGUGUUUCAGAAGCCAUGACACUUGUCGAUGGUCCUUUUGGGACGUCAAUCCAGAUAGACACAUUUACUGCAGAAUAUGUGACUUUGUUAUCCUUUUCAAAUUAGUAAAGCCGUAUGGCAUUUGAUUUGCUAUUUUUUGCAAAUGGAUGAUCUUCUGGACCUCCUGGUCACACAUGGGAAACGUGGGUCAAAAUAAGAUAAUUAUGAAACUUUUAAUGCAAUUUCACUUUUAAGUUUCUUUUUCUCUCUCAUUAAUUGCGGAAAAUUCGUUUCAUCAAAUCAACAAUCUGCAAAUCUUGCAGUAAAUAAAUCUCCCAUCAUUGGCUCAAGGUAGAGAAUUAUGGAGGGUAAAUCAAAUCCAAUAUAUAUGCCUAACCUUCUUUGAGGCCCAUCUUAGUGCGUUGCGGUUGUUACUGAACAUAUAAGUUGUUACUGCACAUAUAAAGCACAUCCAAAAAUUUAUAAAAUGAGCAAUAUUUGGUUCAUGACCAAAUACUAAUUAUGAAGGAGAGUAUUUAUCAUAAUGAGUCGGUCUGAGAUAAACAAGUGAUGUUGCAUGUAAGAUAGCAUGGCCCCAUACAAUAGUGGUAACUUACUUUACAUAAGUAGAGGUUUUGCUAUCAAUUGUACGCGCUUAAUAAAUGACUUAGCAAGGCCAUUUUGAGUAUGAACAUGAGCUACAUGAUGUUCAACUUUUAUCCCUAUUGAUAAGCAAUAAUCAUUAAAAGCUUAGGAUGUGAAUUCUCCAGCAUUAUCAAGGCGAAUUGUCUUAAUGGGAUAAUGUAAAAAUUGCGCUCUUAAUCGUAUUAUAUUGUACAAAUAAUUUUGCAAACGCCACGUUGCAAGAUGAUAAGAGGCACACAUGAGACCAUCUUGAAUAUGCAUCUAUUAGGACCAUAAAAUAUCUAGACAACUCACUAGAUGGGUGAAUAGAUCCAUAGAUAUCCUCAUGUAUACAUUUUAAAACUUGAGGGGAUUUAAUGUUAACCUUAAUUGGUGAUGGCCUAUCAAUUUGUCGUGAUAACAAGAAGCACGUGAAAAUUCAUCACACAUAAGAAUCUUCAGGUUCUUUAAUGAUAUCCAUUUGAGUUUCCAAUGAUUCGUCUCAUCAUUAUUGAUCUAGGAUGACCUAUUCAGACAUGCAAAAGCACAAUAGUUUUUCAGUCAGUAAACUUCUGGUUCACGAUAGAAUGUUCUUCAACUAUAGUUUUUACAUAAUAUAAUCUAGAAGAUAAUGUUGAUAAUUUAUUCAACAUAUAUUUUUUAUCUUAGACAUUUUGAUAAUAUCAAGGUACUCAACAUUUAUUUCAUUGAUCGUCUCAACAUGAUAUCCAUUUCGGCGAAUAUCUUUAAAACUUAACAGGUUUCUUGGGGAUUUAGAAGAGAAAAAUACAUCUGCUAUAAUAAGUUUUGUCCCCGUAGGCAGCAAGAUAAUAGUUCUUUUGGAGCCUUCUAUUAAGUUCAAACUAUAAGAAAUUGUAGUAACAUUUCCUUUUCUUCUAAGCAAGUAAGAGCAGUAUUUCUCAUUUUUUAAUAUGUCGUGGGUUGUUCCACUAUCAAUUACACAAAUAUAUUCAUGGUUGAUCAUUGAUUCAAACGAAGUUUGGGGCAUAUCCAUAUUUUCUUGAUAAAUAAAUUUAAACAAAGUAAAAUAUUACUAUUAAAUAAGGCUAUUAUAUUUACAAGAUUAGAAAAAUACAUACAUACCAACUAAUACAAACAAACAGAAAAAGAGAUUAUCUAGAUUAUCGCGGGAUCGCCAUUGAUCGUUUGUCCUUCAGGGAAUACAAAGAAAUCAGCUACAUUUAGAAGCAUACGGUCAACAUUUGCUUUUGCAUUACUAUUCAUCUUAUGCAUGGGUUCAACAUUAUCUUUGAGACAUAAAGUUUGCAACUAGAUUAUAAUUAUCCUUUUUCAAGGAUGCCUGAUAGAGCUAAACCAGACGCUUAGAUGAUCAGCAAGUAUGCGACCAGUGCCCCAUUCCUCAACAUCUAAGACAUAUACUUUCUGAAUUUUUCUUUUGUAUACUUCUUGUCUUUCACCUUUCCUUUUAUAUUGCUGGUCAUUUUUAGGUGCAAGACGACCAUCAUGAUUAUAAUUUAUUUUACGAUCACGAUCGAUCAUGACCGGAGCCAUGACCACGAUAAGAGCCACGACCUCUUUCUAAUUGGUGACAAUUUGUCUAAUUCACUUCACGAAGUGGCAUAGAAUCAACAUAUCGACUUCCAUGAUUUUUUAUCAAAAUAUCGUUAGUUGUUCUGCAAUAAGAAGAUGUGAAAGUAAUUCAGAAUAUUUUUUAAAACUCAUUUCUUGAUAUUGCUACUGCAGGAGCACACUAUAGGCAGGAAAUGUGGAGUAUUUUUUCUCAAGCUUAUCAUGUUCAAUGACCUCUUUUCGGCAUAAAUUUGACUGUGAUAUAACUCUAUGCAUGGAAUAAUAUUUUAAAGUCUAUUAACCUCAAAUUAGACCAAUCAUGAUACACCUGUGGAAAGAUGACCAACUUCAGGUGGUCAUAUCUAUCUUUUAAUUUUUUCCACAAUACAAGGAGUCUUUAAUAGUGAGGUAUUGCUAAAUUAGAAAUGUGUAACUUGGCCACUAAUUGUCAAGUGUUGGUAGUUCUCUAAAAGUUGGUUUCCACAUGGCAUGCAUAUUUGUCUUGCACAGGGAAGGAUCUACGUGGCCACGUGGCACCUAGUGAUUUCGGAAAAAACAUUGUAUAUAUGUGUAUAUAUGCAUAUUAAUUGCAUAUAUAUUAGUUUUCCCAUCUGUGCUGCGAAAUAGCUUAGCUGGUAAAGGAGGAGAUCACCCACCUAGGCUAUGCAGAUUUGAAUCUGGCCAUCAACACUUCCUUUUUGUCUUGCUCCUUUUUUUUCUUUACUUUUUUUUCUUUUCUUUUUUUCUAUACAUUCUUAUUUAUUUAUGACUAUUCUUUAUUAAUUCAAUUGACCCUUUUUUUUCCUUUUUUUUUUACAUUUGUUCUUAUUUAUUUAUUACUAUUUUUUAUUAAUUCAAAUUGACCCCUUUUCAUAAUUAAUUUUGAGUUUGUUUUAUUUUCUCUUGCACUAAUUAUUAAUCUCUUGAUAUGAGUAUAACGUGUUUAUUUUUUUAAUCAAUUAGUGAGUACAGAAUUAUGAGCAUCAAAUAAAUAUUAUGAAGAAUAUAUUUAAAUAGUAAUUUUAAAAAAAAACAUAAGUUUCAGAAAUUAUUUUUUUUAAUUUAAAGGUUCUUGCGAUCUUCAUCGACAUUUUUGCUAUAUAAAUGGCUAAACUGAAAGUACAAUUUUUAUUCUUUCUCAACUAUAUGCUUCCAAUAACACAUAAAGUCAAUGGAAGAUGAAUAUAUUAUGUUAAUACUAUUAGAUGGUUUAUACAAGCUCAAAUUUUAAUGUGAAAAAUCUUUUUUUUCUUAAAAGUUUCAGUGAAGACGACAUCAAAUUCCAAAAAAGAAAUAAAAUUGAAUUGUUUAGUUAUAUCUAAUCACAUAAUAUCUAAAAGAAAAUAUUAUUACAUGCAUUUUUGAUCGAUUCAUUUAUAAAAAUAAAUAAAAUUAAUAACCUGAGUUGUAACCCAAAAUUAAAGCAACCAUUCUUUCAUCUUACUUGAACGUGUGGCACCCCCGACCUCCAAAUCCUGGAUCCGCCUAUGAUCUUGCACUAUUACAAGUGAUAAAAGUCACUAAUUUAGCGGGCUCCACGUGAUAAUGACCAUUGUUUUACGAUAAGAGAAUCAAAAUGACAUAAAAAUGGAAAGGAGAGAAAAAAAAUGACGGAAGAAAAGACAAAAAUAAAAGAGAGAAAAUAAUGGAAGAAAAGAGAAACAGAAAAAAAAUGUAAUGACGGAAGAAGGAGUAUAAAGAAAUAAUGUAUUUUGUUAUGUGGAGUGAUAAAAAUAAUGUCAUUUACAGUAAGAGUACAUAUAAUUCCAUAGCUAUUAAGUCGUAACUAAUAUAUUAUAUUAUAUUAUUUAUGUAAAAUGACCCCUAAAUAAACUGUAUACAAUUUUUUAAGGUCAAAUACAUAUCGAUACAUGUUUUAUAUACCUAGAUACUUCUAUUUUACUACUUGAUACGUUAUAAUAGGGAGAUAGACGAGAAAAUAUAGGAGGGAGACGAGCGAUAUUUGUCUAUAUACCACAGAUACAUGUAAAUCAUACUUGAUACAUACACACUAGAUACAUGUACUUGUAUGUAUCUAAUGUGAUUUGCAUGUAUCUGUAUAUCAAACACGUGGGAAAGUGGCAAGCGAGAUUUGUCAAAUCUCAGAUCCAUGCAAAUCCACUUAGAGUAUCUAGAAUAAAUUACAUCUAAUUUUGACCUUUGGACAUAUUUGGACACACCAAAUUCUGAUAAGGUUCGUACUAUUGCAAAUUAACGUGUAUUUAAGUAAUUAACUUCUAGACUAAUACAAUUUCUAUAAAUUACUCUAAUUUAAUUAAUUGGUCAAUUCGUCCCAUUGUAGAGAUGUACUUAGGGGAGAGCCGUCAUUUUCACAAUACAAAGUAAAUAAAGUAUGUCCUUUCAAUUAGUGUAGGAUUUCAACUCUUAACGCAUAUCAAGUUUGUUGUCAAUCUGUGUUAAGAAAAUCAGAAAUUACUGGUUGUAAUAAAUUAUUCAGAAACACGAAGUAACAAAGAUUUUUAGAACCAGUAAAUAAGAUGAACAGAAAUUUAUUUGUAAAAAAUAAUUUAAUCUGUAAAACUUACCAAAAUCUUGAAUACUCUUUUUGAUAAUUUAGGAAGAAAAUCAAGUCCACUGAAUUCACAGUGUCCCCUUAAGGAAAUUAUUCCCCUCUAGUAUCUGAGGUUUGAUUUGGAAUAUAACCUCCCAGGGUAAAAUGAUCUUAAUCAGUAGAGUACAGAUACCAAAAACUCUAUUGUCAGCGAAUCAAUCCACAACAGGAAAGUACACGAAGAAAAAUGUGUUUUUUUAAGAAGAAGGAAGAUCAGAAAAUUUGUAAGUCAAUAUUCUGAAGACUGAAUGGUAUUUAUAGGCAAGAAUAAUAUAUUCUGAAAGGUUGCAACCCUUUCAGAAUUGACACAACCAUUAAUGAAAGGUUGCAAACUUUCAAAUGGUAUUGACUGUUCCUGAAAGUUGCUACCUUUCAGAAUAGUGGCGGGAAUUUUUUUAAAUAUAAUGGAAUUUAAAAUGGGUCACGCGCGUGGAUCCGAGUCGGGUCGGGUUAACUAAAAAGUUGAAAACAUUUCGGUUAAUUUCUGUUAUCAACUAAUUGAAAAUAAUUUUUUGCCAUUUAAUUAAUUAAAUAAAUAAUUAAAAUAAAUUUGUCCAAAAAAUUAUCUCUCGAUCGAUCAUUUGCCAAAGCCGAAGCCAAAGCCGAAGCCGAAGCGAGCGAGCGACGACGACGACGGCGAGAGGGGGUUCCCUCUUUCCAACCCUUUUAAUAAUUAAUAGGAGUGUUUAUUUAUUUAAACUCUCCUAUUUUUAUUUCCAUUACCGAUGAGGGACUAUUGCCUUUUUUAUUAAAGCAUUAGAGGACUUUUCAAGUUCCCAACCUUUCAAGUUCUAAACUUUUUCAAAUUCCUCUCCUUCCCUCUAUUUCCCAUCAAUUCUUGCUCCAUACCCAACAAUCCCCCACAUUGAUGGGGAAUAGUUAUAACAUAGGAAUGCACGGACAAUUGUGUACUUUACAAGCAAGGAUUAAUUGCAUCUGGAUAAGUAGGUUUCCCCUUGGACUUUUCAUAGUGAACAUAUGUCGGAUAUACUCGAUCAAUCGAUAGAUGUGAUAUCUUUGAACCGUCGAACUUUGGUGUAUACCUAGAAAACCAUAUGUCACACAAUUAACCCUUUACUGUUUAUGAUUCUUACGGUUGUGUUCGUUUCAGCCAUGAACACAUCCUAGUUUCAUGAGUGUAUAGAGAAUAGGCUUUUGACAUAAAAUUCUCUUUGAAGUGGCUUCCACUUCACACUCACAUAGGUGAUUUCUAACCGUGUCAUCUCGUAGAUACACUAUUUGGUCAAAUCUACCAAACUUAACAAAUCAUUAAAAACUUUAGCUUUAUUACCUCAUUAACAAGCCUUAAAGUUUUAACCUUUUCCUGAACAUUGUCUUCAUCAUGAGAAUGGAUUGAGUUAUGACAAUGUCGAACCGUCAGCCACAACUUUGUUUUUCUCCUUGAAUCUAGCUCUUGGGAUCUACAGUCCACUAGAUAGAGUUACCGUCAUGCUGACUUGUCCUAAGCCGUAAACCCAUUCCCUUAGAUGAUAUUUCAACUGUCUCUCUCACUAGGCCUUUCGUUAGUGGAUCUGACACAUUAUCGCUUGACUUUACAUAGUCAAUUGUGAUAAUUCCACUAGAGAGCAGUUGUCUUAUUGUGUUAUGUCUACAUCGAAUAUGACGAGACUUCCCGUUGUACAUAACGCUCCCUGCCCUACCUAUUGCUGCUUGACUAUCGCAAUGUAUGCAAAUUGGUCCAACAGGUUUGGGCCAGAAUGGAAUAUCCUCUAGGAAAUUCCGAAGCCAUUCCGCUUCUUCACCAGCCUUAUCCAAAGCAAUGAAUUCAGAUUCCAUUGUGGAGCGAGAAAUACAUGUCUGUUUGGAAGAUUUCCAAGAGACAGCUCCUCCACCAAGUAUGAAUACAUAACCACUCGUGGAUUUUACAUCAUUUGACCCGGUGAUCCAAUUUGCAUCACUAUAUCCUUCAAUCACAGCAGGAUAUUUAUUAUAAUGCAAAGCAUAAUGUUGUGUCCAUUUUAAAUAACCCAACACACGUUUCAUAGCCAUCCAGUGAGUUUGAUUCGGAUUACUAGUGUACCGACUCAGUUUACUAAUAGCACAUGCUAUAUCUGGUCGCGUGCAAUUCAUAAUAUACAUCAAACUUCCCAACACUCUGGCGUAUUCUAAUUAAGAGUCACUUUGACCUUCAUUCUUUUUAAAUGUACAACUUAAAUCAAUUGGAGUUUUGAGUAUAUUGAAAUUCAAGUAAUUGAACUUAUCCAAUACUUUUUCAAUAUAAUGAUAUUGAGAUAAUGCUAGUCCCUGGAGAGUUUUGAUAAUCCUGACCCCUAAGAUCAAAUCAGCAACUCCUAAGUCUUUCAUAUCGAACUUGCUGGACAACAUGCGCUUAGUAGCAUUUAUAUCGUCAAUUUCUUUACUCAUUAUUAACAUGUCAUCAACAUACAAACAAACAAUGACUUCAUGAUUCAUAACGUUUUUAAUGUAAAUACAUUUAUCACAUUCGUUAAUCUUGAAUCCAUUUGCCAACAUUACUUGAUCAAAUUUAGCAUGCCAUUGUUUGGGUGCUUGCUUGAGUCCAUAAAGUGACUUCACAAGUCUGAACACUUUCUUUUCUUUACCAGGAACUAUAAACCCUUAAGGUUGUUCCAUGUAAAUUUCUUCCUCUAACUCUCCAUUUAAGAAGGUUGUCUUUACAUCCAUUUGGUGGAUUUUAAUAUCAUGCACUGCUGCUAGUGCUAUUAACAUCCUAAUUGAUGUUAUCCUUGUUACUGGAGAGUAUGUGUCAAAGUAGUCCAGACCUUCCUUUUGUCUAUACCCUUUGACUACCAGUCUAGCCUUAUAUUUGUCAAUAGUCCCAUCAAGUUUCAUUUUCCUUUUAAAGAUCCAUUUUGAUCCUAAAGGUUUAUUUCCUGGAGGAAGAUCAGUCAAUUCCCAAGUGUGAUUGCUUAAAAUUGAGUCAAUCUCACUAUUGACUUCUUCUUUCCAAUAAGUUGACUCUGAUGAAGACAUAGCUGCUUUAAAGGUUUGAGGCUCAUUUUCAAGCAAUAGUGCUACAAAAUCUGGUCCAAAAGAAACAGAUUUUCGUUGUCGAGUACUUCGCCUAGGUUCCUCACUAGUUAGAAUAUUUUCCAUUGAUUCUUCUCGUGGUCGUUUAAGUCUUUCACUUGUUGACUCACUUUCAGUUUUAUACGGAUAAAUGUUUUCAAAAAACUCCGCAUUAUCUGAUUCAAUUAUCAUUAACAUGAAUCUCAGGAUUAUCAGAUUUGUGAACCAAAAAUCGACAGGCUUUACUAUUCACAGCAUACCCAAUAAAGACACAAUCUAUUGUUUUGGAUCCAAUUUUAACCCUCCUAGGUAAAAGAACCUCUACCUUGGCUAAACACCCCCACACUUUGAAAUAUUUCAAGUUGGGUUUUCUUCCUUUCCACAACUCAUAUGGAAUUGAUUGUGUUUUUCGAUGGGGUACUCUAUUGAGUAUUUUAUUAGCUGUAAGGAUGGCUUCCCCCCAAAGAUUUCGCGGUGAACCAGAAUUGAUCAUUAAGGCAUUCAUCAUUUCCUUUAAUGUUCUGUUCUUCCGUUCUGCCAUACCAUUUGACUGUGGUGUAUAAGGUGCAGUAGUUUGAUGAAUAAUACCAUAUUCCAAACAUAUCUCUGCAAAAGGAGAUUCAUAUUCUCCACCCCUAUCUCUCCGAAUCAUUUUUAUCUUUAGAUUCAAUUGGUUUUCCACUUCAUUUUUGUAUUGCUUAAAUGCAUCAAUUGUUUCAUCCUUACUAUUAAGCAAAUAUACAUAACAAAAUCGAGUGCAGUCAUCAAUAAAAGUUAUAAAAUACUUUUUCCACCACGAGAUGGUGUUGACUUCAUAUCGCAUAUAUCUGUGUGAAUUAAGUCUAAAGUUUUAGAAUUUCUUUCAAUAGACUUGUAAGGAUGUUUAACAAACUUACUUUCCACACAAAUUUCACAUUUCGACUUAUCGCAUUUAAAAUCAUUCAAUACUUCUAGAUUAACCAAUUUUCGCAAGGCUUUGUAAUUUACAUGUCCCAAACGGGCAUGCCAUAAAUCACUUAACUCCAAUAAGUAAACAGAAGCAGAAUUUUUAUUAAUACUGUCAAUAACCAUUACAUUUAGUUUGAAAAGACCCUCAUUGAGGUAGCCCUUUCCUAUAAACAUUUCAUUCUUACUUAUUACAGCUUUAUCACUAACUAGGACACACUUAAACCCGUUCUUAACGAGUAGUGCAGCAGAAACUAAAUUCUUCCUAAUAGUAGGAACAUGCAGAACAUUGUUUAAAGUCAACACUUUGUCGGAUGUCAUUUUCAGCAUUACUUUCCUAGUUCCUGCAAUCCUUGUUGUUGCUGUGUUUCCCAUGAAUAAAUCUUCAUCGUACUCAGUAGGAGUGUACAUUGCAAAGGCUUCUUUUGCAGAGAAAAUAUGUCUAAUAGCACCUGAGUCGAGAAACCACUCCUUGGGAUUUGCAACUAAGUUACACUCUGAUAUCAUUGCAUACAAGUCAUCUGCAUCUUCCAUCUUUUCCACGAUGUUUGCUUGAAUUUUUCCUUUGCCUUUGUUUUUGUCCUUUCUUGGAGCAUGACAAUCAGAAGAUCUAUGACCAGCCUUGCCACAAUUAUAACAGUUGCCUUUGAAUUUCUUCUUGGCCUGUUCUGACUUCUGCUCGUUGGACUUCUUUCUCUUUUUGUCUUUGGUAGGAGCUUCUUCAACAAUAUUAACUCCAAUUAUUGUUGAACUCUUACGUGACUUCUUUUCGGCAUUUCUGUUAUCUUUCUCAAUCUUGAGACGAAUCACAAGAUCUUCAAGCUUCAUUUCUUUACGCUUGUGCUUUACAUAAUUCUUGAAAUCAUUCCACGAAGGAGGCAACUUCUCGAUCAUUGCAGCCACUUGAAAAGCUUCAUUUACUACCAUAUCUUCAGCAAUCAGAUCAUGGAGAAUAUGUUGAAGUUCCUGCACUUGUGUUCCAACAAUUUUACUAUCUACCAUUUUAUAGUCUAAAAACUUUGCGACCACAAAUUUUUUCAAGCAUGCAUCUUCUGUCUUAUAUUUCUUCUCAAGUGCAUUCCACAACUCUUUUGAACUUGUUAUUGCACUAUAGACAUUAUAUAAGUCAUCCUCUAAAGCACUCAAAAUGUAACCUUUACAUAGGAAGUCUGACUGUUUCCAUGCUUCAACAAUCAUAAAUUUUUCCCUGUCUGGCAUAUCAUCAGCAGAUACUGGAGUAUCUUCACUUGUAAAUUUCUGCAGACCAAGAGUGGUAAGCCAGAAAAAUACUCGUUGCUGCCAUCUUUUGAAAUUCACACCUGUGAAUUUACCCGGUUUCUCUGCUUGUGAUACAAGAGUUCGGGUUGGAAGAAAAUGAUCUUAAUCAGUAGAGUAUAGAUAUCAAAAACUCUACUGUCAGCGAAUCAAUCCACAGCAGGAAAGUACACGAAGAAAAAUGUGUUUUUUUAAGAAGAAGGAAGAUCAGAAAAUUCGUAAGUCAAUAUUCUGAAGACUGAAUGGUAUUUAUAGGCAAGAAUAAUAUAUUUUGAAAGGUUGCAACCCUUUUAGAAUUGACACAACCAUUAAUGAAAGGUUGCAAACUUUCAAAUGGUAUUGACUAUUCCUGAAAGUUGCAACCUUUCAGAACAGUGGCGGGAAUUUUUUUAAAUAUAACGGAAUUUAAAAUGGGUCACGCGCGCGGAUCCGAGUCGGGUCAGAUUAACUAAAAAGUUGAAAACAUUUCGGUUAAUUUCUGUUAUCAACUGAUUAAUUGAAAUAAUUUUUGGCCAUUUAAUUAAUUAAAUAAAUAAUUAAAAUAAAUUUGUCCAAAAAAUUAUCUCUCGAUCGAUCAUUUGCCGAAGCCAAAGCCGAAGCGAGCGGCGACGACAACGGCGCGAGGGGGGUCCCUCUUUCCAACCCUUUUAAUAAUUAAUAGGAGCGUUUAUUUAUUUAAACUCUCCUAUUUUCAUUUCCAUUACCGAUGAGGGACUAUUGCCUUUUUUAUUAAAGCAUUAGAGGACUUUUCAAGUUCCCAACCUUUCAAGUUCUAAACUUUUUCAAAUUCCUCUCCUUCCCUCUAUUUCCCAUCAAUUCUUGCUACACACCUAACAAAGUUAACGUAAGUAUUUUGCUUGUAGAUAUGAUAUUUAAACUUUAGUCCGUUUCAAAAAUUAUAUAAGGUUUAUCUGAUUAUUUAGAGACGAGUUUGACACUUAAAAGUCAAAUGUCUAAAGUUAAUAGUAAAACGGCAAAAUUUUAUAAAAUUUGAUUGUUCUUUGAAUAACUUUCCUAAAAACGGUUAUUUGUGCACUUCAUCCAAAAUUAACUAAGAGAAGUUUCUACCGAUGUUAAAAUAAAUGAAAAUUAUAUUAUAUGAUUUGUAUAGAAGUCAUUACAUCCUUCAAACAAUUAUCAACUAAUUUAUGUCUAAGUUGUCCUUUGUUUGCUGAAAAUUCCCACAUCGUUUAAUCUAAAACAGGAAGUUGAAGUUCUAAUGUAAAUCAAAAUGCCUAAAAUUUUGUUAAAUGUAUCUUUGUUCAAUAAUUGUUUUUUAACGUGAUUGUAAUGAUACAUGCAUAUUGUUAACGUCUAUAAUAAGAAAUUAUAAGAUUUCUCAUUCAUACCUUGGUGAGUUUAGUGUUGGUAAACUUGUACAACAUAGUCAUUUAUAAUAAUAUCACAGAAGAGCAUGUAAAGCAUCUGCGUAAAGAUGUUAGUCAUAAGUCUAUUGAGUGAAAACUAAAUUAAGAAAACUUUUAUUUUUCAAUGUCAAUUGGAUUUCGAAAACUUUCAUCAUCAUAAUAUCUUACUCUUGAUAUACUUGAAUUUCAUCAUCAUAAUACCUUACUCUUGAUAUACUUGAAUUUCAUUUACAUAUUUCGGUUUUUUAAACCUGUAUAUCUAAAGUUGUCCCAAAAGUAGAUUGGAAAAGGCUCAAAAAUACACCUGAACUAUCAGAAAUAGCUCAGUAUACCCUUAAACUAAAUUCUGGCUCAAAAUAUCCUUCUGUUAAAGUAUUGGGUCACUUUUAUCCUUAUUUUUAACAGAGGUGUGUUAACUGCACCUGGACACCAGGUGGACGCCACAUAAGCAACAAAUAACCUCACCUCCACAUAGACUCAUAAGACCUUAAUAACGAAUUUUUCCCUCAUUUCUCUAAUAGAUAACAAUUUUCACCCAUUCUUAUUUCUCUAAAACAUAAUAUGAUUCCCCUUUCUUUCUCUUAUACGAUUUUCCCUCUCUCUUACACGAUUCCACCUAGGGUUUCACUACACUACUAUGCCUUAGUAAAAUGAGGUGUUUGUUUGAAGUAGUUGAAUAGGAAGAUCACUAUGAUUAAUUAGGACACUUGGUCUAUGCUGUUAAACCAUUCACAUUCAAAUGAUACUUUGUUUACAAAUAAGCAAAUUCACACCUAUUUUGCAAGUAUAAUGGAAACAAACGAUAAGCUUUCAAGUAUAAUAGAAAGAAACGAUAAGCUCUCUGCUCUCUUUGCUCGUUGGCUUCACAUCAACCGACAACAUAUUACACUAUUAUAUAUUAAGAUAAGAAAUCCCAACAGGGCUACGAAUUUGGAAAGAUACAUAUUUUAAUUUAACAGAAAGCAGUACUGGAAUAGCUCUUAACAACAUUACUAGACAGUAUUUGGAUCAAUGAGCUGUUUUUUGGACCAACACAUCUAGGGGUUUUGAACUGGCUCACCGCGCCUCCUAAUCCAACGAAAUGAUCCAAUAUCUUAUGAAAGGUUCCCCUCUUCACAAUCCUCAGUUCAAGUGCUCCAAUUGCAUUCACUUUCCUGGAGCUCACGUAGCCUGCAUCGAGGAACGAUUUGUCCAGACAGUUGCAGCACUCUUGCAAUAUUUCAUCAGUUGCUUCCCCACUCAGUUCCCAGAAGAUGACGUAGUGUCCUGGAUCAGCUGAGACGUUGACAUGGCUGGUGAAGUCCAUCACUUCUAGUUUUUCGUCAACUAAGUGCUUGCCUGCAGCUUCCACGGCUAGUUGCAAAUCUUUCUCAGUGUUCUUGUCUAUAUUAAUGCUCAGCAAAAGGUUCCUUCUGCAGACAAACUGGAGUUCUGGAGUGCCAUUGUGGAAUCCUUUUAUCUUGACAACAUCACCUAGUCUGUAACGAUAUAAACCUGCAUAUAUAAACACAUAACUCUCGUCAAUUAUACUUUCAGGACAUAUAGCUAAACUCGUAUUUGACGCAAUAGAUAGACCGAUAGGUAGGUAAUUUGAAUAAAUCUGUUAAGUGUAGUAGAUGUGGAACAACAAGACAGAAUCUGUUAAGUGUAGUAGAUGCAAGUAUUGCAGAAUAAAUGAGCACAACAGAACAUGGACAAAAAAUAUGUUAAUUCCAAAAUAAGGCAUAAAAACAAAUGAUAAAAUAUUUUCUAUAUAAGCAGAACUUAGUAUUUGAUGUCAGGCAGGCAUAUGUAAGUAAUCAUAUUUCCUGCAAUAUUGCCAUAAAGAACGAAUACUAAGUUGAGAGGAAUCGACUCAGUCAGCUGAAUUACAUGAAGUCACUAAGAUUAGUGCAGAACUCGUUAACCAUGAAAAAUAACUGAAUAAUAAGACUGUGUUCCUAUAAAUGAUCAACAAGCAUAGAAUUUUCAAGAAAAGACGUGCAAGAAAACUGUACCUGCGAAAUUGGUGAAGACAAUUUCAUACUCUUCACCAAGUUUAACUUCAGUCAGGCCAACUGAAGAAUUUGCUUGCUCCACGCCAAUGAGAUUUUCCUCGAGUGGAAGGAAUUCAAAAUAGCCAAUAUUUGGUAACACUGCAUAAGUAACCAUCUCAGGGGGGAAUUUCGGGUUAACAUUUACUCCGACCCAUCCUUCAGAAGAACCAUAAUCUGCACUCAAUAGAGGUAAUUCUCCUGCAUAGUGCCUCAGUUUCUUCAAGUAAGGCUCCAUCGAACCUGUCAUGAUACCAUAAAUGUACUUUGUAUUCGGGAAGAGUUCAGGAAUCAAGCCGUACCAAUUGCUUAAACUUGAACAUUUGCUAUAAAUUGUUUCAGCCAAUUCUGGAUCAGGCUUCAACAAUUUUGACAUGGCUAAUCUUAUGGAUGGUACAGUUACUCGGCUCGAUAAUACUCCCUCCCUUAUUUCAACAACAAGUUCUUCCCAUACUUGUUCGAAAGUUCGAAAAGCAUGGACAAUGCUAUGUGCAAACGUAGAUGAAACAACUUGAACUUCAUCGCGGAAAAUGAGACCAGACAGAAGGUGACAGUAUAAGGAUUGUUGAAAAUCAGGACCAAAUAUCACUUCAUCAGGACUACAA
This 39428-nucleotide long non-coding RNA is filed under the name Solanum melongena (eggplant). RNAcentral describes it as "long non-coding RNA (SMEL_LNC000194)". Lineage: Eukaryota; Viridiplantae; Streptophyta; Magnoliopsida; Solanales; Solanaceae. The record is from RNAcentral.